Molecule: long non-coding RNA, 618 nt
Filed under: Homo sapiens (human)
Lineage: Eukaryota; Metazoa; Chordata; Mammalia; Primates; Hominidae
Description: HSALNT0193514
Source: RNAcentral
GAGAAUAAAAGUAGGCGCUGCAGCAAUUCUCAGAGACAGCGGUCUUGCUAUGUUGCCCAGGCUGGUCAUGAACUCCUGGCCUCAAACCAUCCUCCUGCCUCAGCCUCUCAAAGUGGUGGGAUUACAGGAGUGAGCCACUGUGCCCAACUCAAUCUUUCACAUAUUCAAUCUGAGGUGUCUGUGAUUCGAGUGGAGGUGCUGAGUAGGCAGUUGGACAUAUGAGUAUGAGUCCAGAAGAAAAGCUGGAACUGGGCUGGAGAUACACAUUUGGGAGUUCAGCAUGUGGAUGGCACAGGGGGAAGAAGAGACGCUAGCUAUGGAGACUGGAAAGGAAUGGCCUCGAUGAAGAAGGAAAACCAAGGAAGUCCGUGUCUUGGAUGACAAGUGACAUCUGGAAAAAUAAAGGAGCAGUGUGGUCAGGGAGCCUGAUGAAAUUCUGACUAUGGAUGACUCACUGUUUUGUGUAAAAAGGGGGAAGAGAAUUUAUUCUAAAAAUUUGUUCAUAUCUACAUAAAAUACUUCUGGAGGGAUGCUCAAGAAACUCAUGGUAUUGUUUGCCUGUGUGGACAGAGAAGGAAGGCCAAAGAACAGAGGUGAAAAGUAGAUAUUUCAACUGAA